ACGACCUUACUUGAACAGGAUCUGUUCUAUAGGCUCGUACUUCUGUAUCCUUCAGUUCAAAGGAGACAGGAGCCUAAGUCUGGUGGAAGAAUCGUGACCAUGCGACCAGAGCGUGAUUAAUGGCGUGGAUAGUCUGGUUUCUAGGCCAUCUCGGCUGUAGAGGAUCGUUCCCAUCCGGUUUCGCCAGGAUGAGAUGGUCGUGCGGUUGUCUGACAGACU
Molecule: small nucleolar RNA, 219 nt
Filed under: Nelumbo nucifera (sacred lotus)
Lineage: Eukaryota; Viridiplantae; Streptophyta; Magnoliopsida; Proteales; Nelumbonaceae
Description: Plant small nucleolar RNA U3
Rfam family: Plant small nucleolar RNA U3
About the family: Small nucleolar RNAs (snoRNAs) are involved in the processing and modification of rRNA in the nucleolus. There are two main classes of snoRNAs: the box C/D class, and the box H/ACA class. U3 snoRNA is a member of the box C/D class.
Source: Rfam by way of RNAcentral